CAGUAGCCGCGGGAAUACAGAGGGUGCGAGCGUUAAUCGGAUUUACUGGGCGUAAAGCGUGCGUAGGCGGCUUUUUAAGUCGGAUGUGAAAUCCCUGAGCUUAACUUAGGAAUUGCAUUCGAUACUGGGAAGCUAGAGUAUGGGAGAGGAUGGUAGAAUUCCAGGUGUAGCGGUGAAAUGCGUAGAGAUCUGGAGGAAUACCGAUGGCGAAGGCAGCCAUCUGGCCUAAUACUGACGCUGAGGUACGAAAGCAUGGGGAGCAAACAGGAUUAGAUACCCGAGUAGUCCCUGUCUCUUAUAC
Molecule: ribosomal RNA, 301 nt
Filed under: uncultured bacterium
Lineage: Bacteria
Description: partial 16S ribosomal RNA
Rfam family: Bacterial small subunit ribosomal RNA
Source: RNAcentral